ACCUCCUGCCUUUAUUUCUGCUGGAGGUGUAAAGUAAGUCAAAGCUUUCUGCAGUCGCUAAUCUAUUCAUAUCUUUUGGGUCCGGUGCUGUUUUUGUUGGCUGUGCCCCAGGAGGUGGAGGUGUGGAAGUGCCUUUCUGCUGGUCUCCACAAGUGGGUGUCGGUGUUUCCUCCGUUCCAGGCACCUCCUCGGACGCUGUGGCCUUGCGGGGGGAGUGGGUGGAUGCCAGUGUGGCCAUACCCUGCCUGUCCCUAACUUUUUAAUCCUUUUAUUUUGGCCUUGCCUUCCUUCCAUGGAACAUCACUGGGUAGCCACUGGGAGGUGUGAAUGGCUCGGGAUGGAAACCGCAGCUUGUAGGUGUGCCCUCUGCCAGGCUUUUCUGGCACCUGAGGAAGCCCGGCCUCCGCCUGCUCCUGAGUAAAAGGGGUAUUGCCGGCUGCUCGGUGAGAAAACAAAUUUGCAGAGAUACAGGAAAGUGUGCUAAGGUGGUGCGAAGCAACAGGAGUGAGAUUCCUGGCAGCUCGGCAGGACAGCAAGCCCGUGCUGGUGUUCAGCUGUUUGUCACGACUGCUUCGGCAGCGGGUCCAGCUGUGUCCGGGGGUCCAUCCAGCUGCACCCAGACACGUGCAGCCUGUGCUGGGGGCGGGAGCAGGGACAAGGCACCAACCCGUGUGGAAGAUAAUAGGUUUGAGGGGCUGGAGGGAAGAGCGUGACCCGGACUGGCUGCUGCAUAGUUGUGGGAAGUGAAGAGGAACCGCUGCCCCUCUGCCCCUGGCCUGGGUGCGGGGCUGUCACUGCACCCCGGCUCCCUUUCAGAGCACCCACCAGCCCGCCGGGGGUCUGCACACCCUGUCUGGAUGCUGGGUGCAGGGCUGGAAAGCCCCAGCAGCCCCCUCCCGCAGCGCCGCAGACCUCCCUGCCGCCCACUUGCCGCUGAUGCCCGCCGCCUCCUGCAGAGAAACGUCCCUCUCCUUAUCGGGGUUCAGCCAUUCCCAGUGAAGUUACAAACCCUUUAGGGCAAGGAGCAAGUCUCGUCUGAUCUCUCCUCCCUGAGCGCUCUGCAACUGUGGGAAGCUGGAGAAGGGAUUUCCAUCCUGCCGGUGCGGUAACGGGAGCCGAGAGAGCACCCCAGCCUGGCUGCAGCAAGGUGAGGGAUGGAGCAGGAGAUGUUUUGCACCACUGGCCCAUAAGAUCCGUGAAGCAGCUGACAGGGAGACCGGUGUGCCAUCCCUCUGCGGGUCCCUGGAGCAGCACCCCGUCCCCCCUCCCUGUGGGGAGCCCACCCAUGUGGGACAGCCUGCGCAGCCGGGUGCCAGCACCCUCUUUUCUCCAGGAUGCAGCUGGGCACGUGGCAGUCCUGGGGUCCCCAGCAUCCUUGCUGGGCCCAAAAUCGGGAGCUGAUUAUGGUGUACGGCAAGGGCACAGCUUCAAAUGGGUGCCUCGGUCUGCACAGGGCUCUGUGCCUGCCAGGGCAGGGCGAAGUAGUCAAAUAUCUCUCACCUAAAUGAAUUGUCAUUCAGGUUAAGGAGAGUGCCAGAAGCUUUAAAGAGGCUGUUGGCAGUUUCCAGAAGAAAAAGCAAGUGACACCUGCUGCACGUCAAACAGCAGUUGCCCUUGUAUCGAUAGGGUGGUUAGUGCACGAAACAGAAGCAGUCGGGGACAUGGAAAGGCACAGAUCUCAGAAACCAGCACAUUUUUUUCAAAUGCUGCUUCCACGCUCCCAAGCCUAUAUGCACAGUGGGGCAAUAACCCAGCACAGCAAUUUCUGUUGGCCUCUGCCCAUUUCCAGCCAGAGCAGCCCUGGCUCCUGAUUUAUUCAUCAGAUGUCAAACAGUGGAAUGUUUCCACAAUUUUUCCCUCUGAAAGAAUGUGGUAGGACUAAAUGCUUUCACCUUUUUUUUUAAGAGAAAUUCUAAAACUACUCAGGAGCCUUUCGGAUCGUAACAUUUGUCUGACAGGCAGUGCUGGUGUCAGAAGGUGCUGCUUGCUGUGCUGGUGGCAGCUCACCUCCAGUAAGCCCAGCUAGAACCCUUUGAAAAAUACCGUUUUGGCCCCUCACGGUGGAACUUGUCAUAACCGUGUUUCCAAACACACGGGUUGCACUCCACACAUCUUACAGCUCCAUGAGAUAUUUGCAUCAGGAAGGCAGCUUGCUUUCCUGCCUAUCCUGUUCCAUCAAAACACACUUUUAGCACCAGGCAGGAAGCCAAGGUCAAGUCUCCUUUUCUUUUUUUUUUUUUUUGUUCCCCCUGCCUGCUCUGAAUACAUUAUGAUACUGACUUCAGUCCCACUAUUAUAUCUUUUUCCCACAAGACCGUUGCCUCAUUCAGACUGCAGCGGGGAACAUGCUUUCAUCUCUGCCAGCUGGGCAUGGCUGGAGCACCCCACGCCCGUAGGAGCUGCGUGGAGAGGACACGGGGGCGAGGCUUUGCACAUUCCCAUGUACGGAGGACAGAGGGGUUUGGUCAUGUCCAAAUCUGGGAGGGCAUUUCCAGGGAGCCUCUCCCACUGCUGCCUUUGUCAGGCCAGUAGCGAAGGAUGUCGAUGAGGAUGGGAUUCCUCUCACUUGAUUUUAGAUGCCUAAAAGUUAGGUGUCUAAACCUAAUUACUCGGACAGGCUCCCUGCAUAGUCAGUGGAGACAAAUAGGCACCUCUAGUGUGUGAUUCAUCUCACCUAUCUUGAACAUUUAUCUUGAGAAGGGCUGACUCACUGGGCAGCCAAGCGCCCGCUUCUCUUCUGUGACUGUAAAGGCAGAUCGGCAACUUGCUGAGGAUUUGACGACUAGAUUUUGGAUGUCCCAAGCUAGGCAAGGUGAGUCCUACUCCCAGCUACAGCAGUGGCUGUGGGAAGCAUCAUCACUGUGCUCCAGCUUGAGCCCUCCCCUGCCACCAACUUCCCUCAGAGGGUCCAUUUCCAGCCCUCCCCAAGCAGGGCUGGGUGUUAGUCUGUCCAAAUCACAUUAUCAGUUCUUAUCACAUUAUCAGACCAAGUUAAAUAUUUAUAAAGCACCUGGGGGCAGGGUCCAUGUCUUUCUCAUGUUUGCAUAUUCCCUCGAGGAGCGAAGCCCCCGCGUGGGUUGCAACCCUUUGCAGGGACUGGUGCAAUACGGCACCUUGAGUCCCUCUGCCAAUCUGCAGAUCUUGACGAAAUGUAUCUGGAAAUACAAAAAGAGCUCACGGACAUUGGGAAAUAGGCAGGAGUGAAUCAUAAGAGUCAGGAGAAGCUACUAACGUGUGGGAAAAAGGCAAAUGUGCUACCUCGGCACAAACAUAUAAUAAGGAAGUAUGUAAUAAUAAUUAUUGUUAUUGUAAUAUGGUCUGGGUGAGCAUUUGGGAAAAAGAUAUCUAAUAACUGACAAGCGACGUGGCUCAGUUUGUUUUGAUCUGAAAUUCAAACAAUGGUUGUGUUUAUAAGGCAAUAAUACGCAGGGCACAGAGCACUGGCUCCGCACCAACUAUGCACUCCCCAAGUCGGGUUUAUAUAGGUCAUGCCAGACAAAUAAUAGUGUUCUUCAAUAUAAUUACUGAUUCAUUACGGAGAGAGAAUGUAAUUGAGUCUGUUUGGAUUUCAGGGAGGCGUUAGAUAUGAUAAAUUCAUACAUUUGGACUCAGA
Molecule: long non-coding RNA, 3613 nt
Organism: Tyto alba (common barn owl)
Lineage: Eukaryota; Metazoa; Chordata; Aves; Strigiformes; Tytonidae
Exons: 2
Source: RefSeq, a predicted model, not a curated record